UUGAAAAGAAUUUUCAAGUCUUUACUGAUCGUAAACUCUCCCUCUUCUCAUCGAAGUUCAGGUAACGCCUGACAACCUCUUUGUUACGAAACUGUUUUCUUUCUUACUCUUGAUUCUGCUUUUCUUAAAUCCUGUAUCCAUUCAGGUUAUCUUUGUGGUGUAUUGAAGAACCACUAUUGAAGUGUAGGAUAGCGCCUACCAAUCGAUGAUCAGGAUCGCGCCUGAUAUUUCGUGAACAUGUCUGUUACUCUUUCCCCUUCUGGGGAUUGUUUUUCUUUCAAUCAUGUUAAAUAUAAUAAUAGUUUAAAUAAGUAUCUAUUUUAUAAUAGUAACUUAGAUAUCGUCCUUGACGAUUUUGAUUUUUAUUUUAAUUCUUUUGUAAAUGAUAAAAUGUUUUCUUCAAAAAGC
Molecule: unclassified non-coding RNA, 408 nt
Filed under: Tomato black ring virus
Lineage: Riboviria; Orthornavirae; Pisuviricota; Pisoniviricetes; Picornavirales; Secoviridae
Description: defective interfering RNA
Source: RNAcentral